RNAcentral lists this long non-coding RNA (349 nucleotides) under Bos taurus (domestic cattle). Its description in RNAcentral is "long non-coding RNA NONBTAT006261". Lineage: Eukaryota; Metazoa; Chordata; Mammalia; Artiodactyla; Bovidae. The record is from RNAcentral.
GGAAUGAUCAUUUUAAAGCACAUAAGCAAUAUGUAUGGACAUAUAUGUGUAUAUGCAUACAUAUUAUACACACUUAUGGAUGCAGAAAAUGUACAUGAUCAGAAUUCGGUGGAAUGUGUCCCAUGUUUAGCCACUGCACUGUGUAAAUAACCACCAUGUGAUGAUUAUGUGAGUGUUACACAUUAUUUAAUAGAUGACACUGAAAGGUAGUUAGUGGCUGUUCACAUAACAUUAUCCAUUUUGGGAUCAUUGUAAAUAAAAUCUUAGAAUUUCUAUUGCAUGGGAUAUUAAACUCUUAAUAUCUGUUAGAAUUUAAUUUUUAUCCACAACAAUAUUUUUAAGAACUGAC